GUGGGGAAUUUUGGACAAUGGGCGCAAGCCUGAUCCAGCAAUGCCGCGUGUGUGAAGAAGGCCUUCGGGUUGUAAAGCACUUUUGGCAGGAAAGAAAUAGUGCGUGCUAAUACCAUGCGCGAAUGACGGUACCUGCAGAAUAAGCACCGGCUAACUACGUGCCAGCAGCCGCGGUAAGACGUAGGGUGCAAGCGUUAAUCGGAAUUACUGGGCGUAAAGCGUGCGCAGGCGGUUUUGUAAGACAGGUGUGAAAUCCCCGGGCUCAACCUGGGAACUGCACUUGUGACUGCAAGGCUAGAGUGUGUCAGAGGGAGGUGGAAUUCCGCGUGUAGCAGUGAAAUGCGUAGAGAUGCGGAGGAACACCGAUGGCGAAGGCAGCCUCCUGGGAUAACACUGACGCUCAGGCAUGAAAGCGUGGGGAGCAAACAGGAUUAGAUACCCGUGUAGUCC
RNAcentral lists this ribosomal RNA (450 nucleotides) under uncultured bacterium. RNAcentral's name for it is "partial 16S ribosomal RNA". It matches the Rfam family "Bacterial small subunit ribosomal RNA", at positions 354 to 796 of the family's 1533-position model. The record is from RNAcentral.